UGGGGAAUAUUGGACAAUGGGCGAAAGCCUGAUCCAGCAAUGCCGCGUGAGUGAUGAAGGCCUUAGGGUUGUAAAGCUCUUUUACCAGGGAUGAUAAUGACAGUACCUGGAGAAUAAGCUCCGGCUAACUCCGUGCCAGCAGCCGCGGUAAUACGGAGGGAGCUAGCGUUGUUCGGAAUUACUGGGCGUAAAGCGUACGUAGGCGGUGACUCAAGUCAGAGGUGAAAGCCUGGAGCUCAACUCCAGAACUGCCUUUGAAACUAGGUCGCUAGAAUCACGGAGAGGUGAGUGGAAUUCCGAGUGUAGAGGUGAAAUUCGUAGAUAUUCGGAAGAACACCAGUGGCGAAGGCGGCUCACUGGACGUGUAUUGACGCUGAGGUACGAAAGCGUGGGGAGCAAACAGGAUUAGAUACCCAUGUAGUCCCUG
Molecule: ribosomal RNA, 427 nt
Filed under: uncultured bacterium
Lineage: Bacteria
Description: bacterial SSU rRNA
Rfam family: Bacterial small subunit ribosomal RNA
Source: RNAcentral